AGUGAGGAAUAUUGGUCAAUGGACGAGAGUCUGAACCAGCCAAAUCGCGUGAAGGAAGACUGCCCUACGGGUUGUAAACUUCUUUUGUACAGGAAUAAAAGACAUUACGUGUAAUGUAUUGCGUGUACUGUACGAAUAAGCAUCGGCUAACUCCGUGCCAGCAGCCGCGGUAAUACGGAGGAUGCGAGCGUUAUCCGGAUUUAUUGGGUUUAAAGGGUGCGCAGGCGGGAUUUUAAGUCAGCGGUGAAAUUUUCAGGCUCAACCUGAACACUGCCGUUGAAACUGGGAUUCUUGAGUAUGGAUGAAGUAGGCGGAAUUCGUUGUGUAGCGGUGACAUGCUUAGAUAUAACGAGGAACUCCGAUUGCGUAGGCAGCUUACUAAGCCAUAACUGACGCUCAAGCACGAAAGCGUGGGGAUCAAACAGGAUUAGAUACCCUGGUAGUCCACGCCGUAAACGAUGAUUACUAGUUGUUUGCGAUAUACCGUAAGUGACUAAGCGAAAGCGAUAAGUAAUCCACCUGGGGAGUACGCCGGCAACGGUGAAACUCAAAGGAAUUGACGGGGGCCCGCACAAGCGGAGGAACAUGUGGUUUAAUUCGAUGAUACGCGAGGAACCUUACCCGGGCUUGAAAUGUACCUGACCGUCCUUGAAAAGGGACUUCUAGCAAUAGCAGGUAUGUAGGUGCUGCAUGGUUGUCGUCAGCUCGUGCCGUGAGGUGUCGGCUUAAGUGCCAUAACGAGCGCAACCCACAUUAUUAGUUACUAACAGGUUAAGCUGAGGACUCUAAUAAGACUGCCGUCGUAAGAUGCGAGGAAGGUGUGGAUGACGUCAAAUCAGCACGGCCCUUACGUCCGGGGCGACACACGUGUUACAAUGGGAGGUACAAAGGGCUGCUACCUGGUGACAGGAUGCUAAUCCCCAAAGCCUCUCCCAGUUUGGAUCGGAGUCUGCAACUCGACUCCGUGAAGCUGGAUUCGCUAGUAAUCGCGCAUCAGCCAUGGCGCGGUGAAUACGUUCCCGGGCCUUGUACACACCGCCCGUCAAGCCAUGGGAGCCGGGGGUAUCUGAAGUGCGUAACCGCAAGGAGCGUCCUAGGGUAAAACUGGUGACUGGGGCU
This 1119-nucleotide ribosomal RNA is filed under the name uncultured Dysgonomonas sp. Its description in RNAcentral is "bacterial SSU rRNA". It matches the Rfam family "Bacterial small subunit ribosomal RNA", at positions 353 to 1482 of the family's 1533-position model. Lineage: Bacteria; Pseudomonadati; Bacteroidota; Bacteroidia; Bacteroidales; Dysgonomonadaceae. The record is from RNAcentral.